Molecule: long non-coding RNA, 1012 nt
Filed under: Pan troglodytes (chimpanzee)
Lineage: Eukaryota; Metazoa; Chordata; Mammalia; Primates; Hominidae
Description: long non-coding RNA NONPTRT016560
Source: RNAcentral
GCCGCCCAAUGGCGAGGCAGCGCGAGGCUUCCCGGAAGUGGUGGCGCGGUCAGGGCUGGCCUUGGCUUCAGCUGCGGUUUUGGGGUUCAGGACGCUGGGAUCGGCGGCGCUAUGAGUUCUUUCGAGGGGCAGAUGGCCGAGUAUCCAACUAUCUCCAUAGACCGCUUCGACAGGGAGAACCUGAGGGCCCGCCCCUACUUCCUGUCCCACUGCCACAAAGGUCACAUGAAAGGAUUAAGAGCCCCUACCUUGAAAAGAAGGUUGGAGUGCAGCUUGGAGGUUUAUCUAUACUGUUCACCUGUGACUAAGGAGUUGUUGUUAACGAGCCGGAAAUACAGAUUUUGGAAGAAACAAAUUAUAUCUAUUGAAAUCGAGACUCCUACCCAGAUAUCUUUAGUGGAUGAAGCAUCAGGAGAGGUUUUUAUUUCAGGGCAAUAAUGGAACUAUCUUGUACACAGGAGACUUCAGAUUGGUGCAAGGAGAAGCUGCUAGAAUGGAGCUUCUGUACUCCAGGGGCAGAGUCAAAGACAUCCAAAGUGUAUAUUUAGAUACUAUGUUGUGUGAUCCAAGAUUUUACCAAAUUCCAAGUCGGGAGGAGUGUUUAAGUGGAGUCUUAGAGCUGGUUCAAAGCUGGAUCACUCGGAGCCUGUACCGUGUUGUGUGGCUGAACUGCAAAGCGGCUUAUGGCUAUGGAUAUUUGUUCACCAACCUUAGUGAAGAAUUAGGAGUCCAGCUCACCUUUCCUCCCCCUCCUCGCCUGCUAAAUAACUGCAGACAGGGACAGAUGGAAGCACCCUAUCAAGAUGUGUCUGCAGCAGAUGUUGGCGGGCCCUCUGAAGGAAUAUAUCAUCUUAGUUCAGUCACAUCCUCCUGGGAGAAAAUUGACAGAAGCCCAAAUGGCUUACAAGAGCCUUCAGUGAAAUGCCCCAUAGACAAAGUAUUUUUCCCAAACUUUGGGUCGUGAAAUAAAUUUAGCGAUUGUGACCAGCAUUGAAAAUAAAUUUGAACAAGG